Aricia agestis (brown argus) is the source of this 249-nucleotide long non-coding RNA. RefSeq lists it as uncharacterized. The record is from RefSeq and is a predicted model, not a curated record. NCBI's taxonomy places the organism in Eukaryota, Metazoa, Arthropoda, Insecta, Lepidoptera, Lycaenidae. The transcript has 3 exons.
AUCGAAGUGACAACAGAAUUGCCAUUAACAACUACAACAAUGGCAACUGAAAGGAACGUAGACGUCACCACGUCUGCUAGCACAAUCCUUGAAGUUACAACACAACUCCAGUCUCAAAAUAUUGAAUCGACAGACAAAACAACAACAGACAAGAUUUCCGAAACAAACGCUAUUGAACAAACGCAGUCGGCAUCUUCCUCAUCGACACAAAGUAAUGUUGGAACCGAAGCGUCAACGGAAUUGCAAUUU